GAGCUUUGAAAGAGAAAAAAAAGCGUGACUUUUGAUGGUCCUCUCUUUUGAAAGAGGACGAAGCGGCUUCUUUGAAGGUACGCCUGCUUACUGGUAUCAUUUUAACGGAAAACCGUAUCGGUAUAUUGUAAAUUUUUAUCUUCAUCUUGUUCUUUGAAAACCCUCUUCCUCUUUCAUCUCCCUUCCUUUUUCAUCUUCUUGUUUUCUGGGAAACCAUGCAAGCUAUUUUAAACACCCUUGUCUUCACAAUCUUAACCUUAAUCUGGGUUUUCUUUUUCCUGAUUUUUGACCCAGGAAACGGUAAAGGUGAUAACUUUUUUGGUGGCUAUGAUUUUGGGUUCCUUUGUUGUCUAAGCACUGAAGCAUGCAAAUGCUUGUCUUUUGAUGUUAAUCUUGGUGUUAAGUAGUUUGCAGUUGUUAUACACAGUACUUUACUUGGCAAUGAGAGGCAACGAGCUUUAUCUGUUUUACCUGAGUUAAUCACCCAGGUAACCUUUUUCAAUUUCCUUUAAGCUUGUUUUGGUUGAUGUUUUUUUUUUCCUGAAACUCUUUAAUUAUUUUUUCUAGAUUUUAUGUGAUUAGUUGAGAGAUUGAUCUUUAAUCUAGACAAGAAUGCAUUUCUCUAUGUUGGAAAAAAGGAAAUUUCGGUCCUAUACUUGAAUAUACUGAUUAAACUGAAGCUACUAAUGGUUUAACAUUUGCUUUUAAUAGAAGAAGAUGAAUGAACACAGGUUAGGACCAUGAAUUGAUUUAGCAUAAAAUUUAGUGGGACUAAUAUGCAUAUGAUACAGUAGCACAAGUUCACAUAAAAUGUGUUUUGUAAUUGACAUUCAUAAAAAAGGAGAUACUUAUAGCUGUUUUGAGUAUGCCCAUUAGUAAACUUUUGAUUUCACUAUUUAGUGAUAGUCAACUUAAUGUACAAUUGUACAGUCAUACAAAUAAGUUAAUCUUGAAUUAAUGAUAUGAAUUUGUAUUUAUGAGAAAAUGGUGGACAUGUAUUUUGUCAUCUCUUGAUGUUGUCUUUGAUAUAGCUGACUUUGUGUUCAUAUUGAAUUUGAUUUGAAAGGCACUUUCUUUGAUAAAUUGUCCACUACAUUUUUUCUGCAUUUGUUUUGCUAUCUUUUACCAAGAAAUUUCUUAGUUUAGUUAUAAAAGUAACUAAUUCUAGAGAACCAAAUGAAGGGAACAUAUUGAUUAUCAUGCUAGGAUGUGAAUUUUGACUGGAACUUGAAAAAUGAAUGAUCUUGUGCUCAUGCAUAUAUGUUCUUAUUUGAAAUUGUCACUUGAUUCAUAAGUUUUUUAAUGUUAGAAAUAGGGAGAGAAGUUGAUAAAAUUGCCUAGUAAAGGUGUGAGUUCUUACUAUUUUUUUUCAUAAGCAUUUAUUGUUUAAAGUAAUCUAGGGUUAAUUUCGUUGCAAGUUUAUACUACUAUUAUGCGAGAAUGCUAGAGAAAUGAAAACAAGAUUGCUAAUUAAAUUUUAUGCUGAAUUUACGCAUAUAUAUUUCGUAUCAUUUUUAUCUUUAAUAUAUGUUAUAUUGGUGGUAGCUAAUAAUUUGGGACCAUGACUACACUCACUACAACGAAAUCUGCUUUUAGCAACUUUUUUUUAUAUAUUUCAUGGUAUUUAUAAACAUCACUAGAAGUUUCCGGCUUAAUGAAAAACUCUGCAAGAAACAAUGCCACUAAGAGCAUUGGUAAAUAUAGCAAUGUUUCAGUUGUAGAUGUUGCUAAAUGUUGGAGUUUAUUAUAACUAUGUCGGUGUUUUGAAAACAUCGUUUUAGUGUUUGCAUGUUGAAAUGGCACCCUUCCUUUUUUUCCUUUGGCCAUUUUUAGCUGCGUUUUUGUUUGAAAACACUAGUAAGUUAAUGAAUUUAGCGGUGACAUUUCUAUUAAUGAAAUGCAACUAAGUUUUUGAUGUUAGUGGUGAAUCUUCUUGAGAAAUGUCUCUAAAUCUCGUCUUGUAGUGGUUUUUCAAUUCAAGAGACAUAGUUAAUUCGCCAGAAACAUUUCAACAUUUUUGUUCAUUUUUAAUUAUUUUUGUAGGGUUUCUUAGAAUUUAGUGUUUCUAGCAUUUCAUUUACAAUUAGUAAUAAUUGAAAUAAUAUUAGAACACAAUUAAAAUAUAUAAAAUUUGGUAAAAAGACUUCUCUGGUCCGUCUCAAUUUCAGUAUUGAGCAUAUUGAUUCACUUAAAAAAAUCGAAGCAAUUUACUCCCUCUUAAUUUUAAAAGUGAGCAACCAAGUACUAUAAACCAUUGUGUUUACACAUUCUUUUGUUAAUUUAUUCUACUUUUAAUUGGUAUAAUAGCUUUCAAUGUUUACGCAUUCUUUCACCUUUUUCCUAAUUCUAAAAAAUUCAACAAAUUUAGCCUUCAACAUUUAUACAUUCUAUCAAUUUGAUCUUGAUUCUAGAAUUGUUGAUAUCCAAUGAGAGCUAAAUUUGUUGAAAUUAUUUUAGAAUUAGAACAAAAAUGACAAAAUUUGUAAACAUUGAAAGUUAAGAUUGUUAUUAUACCAAUCAAAACUAGGAUAGAUUGAUGGAAAUGUAAACGUUAUGAUUAAUUAUCCUUAGUUGAUCAAUAUAAAAUUGGCAAGGACUAAAUUGUUCCUUUUUAGAGGAACCAAUUGCUCAAUAUCGAAAUUGAGGUGACCGGAGAGGUUUUUUUACUUAUAAAGUUCAAAUUUUAUUACAAAUUCUAUUUAUAAAAAGGAGUCUUUGUCAACUCUUAGUUAAAAGUACCUAUGAUGAUGAAUAUGAGGACUGUUGUUGCAUAUAUCUCAUGAACAUCUGAAGUUACGAAUGAAGCCUGUGGUUGAAGUUAUUGAUAUCUUCUUCUGCCUUCUGUUUGUGCUUGAAUUUUGGCCACCUUUGCUUGUAUGUUUUUCAUAUAUUCUCUCAAUUGAACAUCUUCUUGAGUAUAAGACUGUUGUGAAGAAAUAUACCGCUGAAAACUACUUUCAAAGUAGCUAGAGGGAGUCGUACUUAUUAUAAUACCUUGAACUUAUCCAUUCCUUUUUAAUCUAGUAACUUUAGGCUUUGCUUGGUAGAGUCAAAUGAAAAUUGGGAAGAUGGAAAAUUGAAGGGUGGAAAAAUAGAAAGAUGGAAAAUGGAAAGUAAUUUUCUUUCCCUCCAUUACUUGGUAGAGUUGAAAAAUAAAAAGAAAGAAAAUAAAACAUUUGAAGAAUGCUUAAUUUGAACCAGCAUACACUUCUCUCCCAUUUUCUUUGAUCUCAACAUUCCAGUUUAGAAGACUUGGUUUUAAUACAUUAGGAUUGAAAAUUAUCACCCUCUUAUUUUCUUUCCUCUCACUUUUCUUCCCUACCAAGCACUCAAAAAAAAUUUUCUUUCCAUUUUCCCACUUUCUCCUAUCCCUCGACUUUUCCACCUAACCAAGCACACAUUUAGUGAACACUUCAUGUUUAGUUUCUCACAUAGUGUGUAAUCCCUCAUCCAGAGCAGUAGAUGUCGAAAAACACAUACUUGGAGUUAUAAUUAUAACGUAUUUCUUCAUUGACAAUUCUUGCAAAGCUUUUUGAACUUUUUGUGUGAAUAUACUUUUGUUGCUUUUUGAACUAUUUGAGUGAAUAUAUUUUUGUUGUUUUUACUAGAAAUCUUAAGGGUUCUUUUUCCUAAAUCAUAUGUUAUGAAGUUAUUGGGGAAAAUUUUGGAAAGCUCAUAACCAAAUGAUUAUAUUUUAACUGCAACAAAGAUUUUUUUUCCAGAAAUUCCAUAUUCAUUUGUUAUGAAGUCAUUGGAAAGCUUAUAAGCAUGUCUUGGAAGUAUUUUGAUCAGAAUAUCAAUCGUUUGGUCACAAGACCUAAUCUACCACGUGGUGUGGUUUAGUGGUAGUACAAUUUUUUAAUUUAUUGUUGGUAUUUAAAGAAAGUAGAGAUAAAGAAAUCAAUUAAUUUAAAUUAAUUUUGGAUUACUAAUAAUAUAAUUUUAUAUAACAUAUAAAUGCUUUUAAAAAAUUUACAAGAAGGAUACGAGAUUUCUAGUAGAAGAAAACAAAUGUAUAUUCACACAAGUGGUUAGAAAAGUUUUGCUAGAAUUGCCAAUGAAAAGUAUAUAUUUUCCUUGUAAGAUUGUAUUGAUAAAUAUGCUUAUAUUAAUUUAUAUUAUUUUGUAAGAAAUUGAGAAAGGUGAAAAAAAUUCAAAGGCUUGAGCUUUUUCAAAUUACUCAUACCAAGAAGGAUCUUUUGUAAACGAAGAGACACAAUAGAUUGCAGUAUGAGUUCUUCAUAACUAUUUAUAACUUUUAUUUAAUAAAUUAAUUAUGUGUUUUAUACCUUAAUGUUAUUUUCUUGAUUUGUAGGAGAAAGCAAAAUAAAAAAUUGUCAAAAGUAAUUAAGUCUAAGCUGUACUCUUUUUACAACAAAAAUCUACACAAAAAAUUGUUCAAUUGGGAUAGAGAAAAAUACAUGAAAAGUUGUCAUAGUAAGUAGUUCUCAGUGGUAUAUUUAUUGAACUCUUAUCGGUAGCAUUUUUCUUUUAAGCUGCUGAACUUUCAGCUGCAUUUCUAAACACUGUGAUAUAUAUAUAGGCUAAAACCAGGUUUUGCUGUAGUGUUUAUGUUGGAUUCAAACCAUAAAUGUUAUUUCUGUGGUCUCUCCUUGUGCAUUGAAAUAAAAAGAAUCCCAGUUGUCCUUGCAUAUUUGCUGAUAAUUUAUACUUUUGUCGGCUUCAAAUCAUUUGCUAAUUGUAAUUUCCAGUCUCUCCUCUCAACAAGGUACACUAGAUUCAAAUCAUUGAAACAUGACUUAUAUGGAAUAGCUUAUGAAAUCUAUAGCUUCUUUAAAAAUCUGUUGUAGACGUCUAGAAGAGAAAAGUGGGAUUCAAAAUGGCUAGCCUUUGAAGAAGGGCUAAGAAUGGAAUAUGGUAGAAAAUCAUAUAUUACUUGCGAGGAGAUCUACAAGCUCAACUCCCAAAAGAAAUUUUAGUGAAUCCAAAUUCUUUUAAGUAAGAAAAUUUUUUCCUUUAGAUGUUUAUAAUCUGUCAGAAUGAUUGGCAUUAAGAUGAGUUUUCCUUAAUUCGUAAUAUCUUACACGUAUAAAAAUAUUGGCUGUUCUUUGGUUUCAUGCUUCCAUACCCAUUAAUUUUUAUAUUAUGGUAAACAAGGGGGCAAGGACAAAUGGAAAAUCCAUGUACUCAAUGUUGUAAAGAUUGAGCUAGGCACUGUUAGGCAUUACACCUUAGGGCCAAGCAACAAAUUUGCUUUGAGCCCUUUCAAGAAGCGCACAUGUUGUUAUCAAGUGUAUGAUUAGUGUAUUUAAAUGGACUUUUCUGCAAGGCUAUAGGUAAAAAAGGGUCCUCUUGGUUGAAGUUCUACUUAAUUUCUUUUAUUUUUAUCUUUUCCAUAUGUUUUACUCAUUUGAGUAUCAAUAUAGACAUGGGAUCAUAAGAAAAUUGUGCAUAUAGGCUAAUAAAAGAAACCAAAAUUUCGCAUGUUUUGUAGAUACUGGUUACUGGAUCUCUCUUUAGAGUUAUUAUCAUAAUUACUUAUAACCUUAAAUUUCAUACAAUGCACACACACACACAACGUGUUGUGCCAUAUUUGACUCAGGCAGGUGCAUUUUUUGCUCCAUAUACCUUAAGUCUUGCAGCUAGAGUGUGCCUUGUGCCCUUGAGAAAAAUGUAUCUAAUGAUCUAGAGGCCGAAGAAAGAAAUGGAAGACUCAGCAUAAAUAAGUUGUUAAACAGUGAAAACUCGAAGGGGAGUAUCAUGUGUAUGUUUGUACAAUCACCUUUGCUUAUUUUGAUACAACUCGCUUGUUCAAGUCACCUGUGGCAGUUUUCUUUCUCAAAGUAGUGUCUCAUGAAGAGGUAGAGCUUAUUGUCAUUAACUUCAUUUUUUAAGUGUUGUAAAAAGUCAAACUUAACUCUUUUGAUUCAGAAGUAGAAUUUAUAUGAUGGCCAAUGCUAUUUUGCAAUAUCAUGCAUAAGGUUCUUAUGUUUCUGGGGAAAUGUGGUGCUUUCAAGCUUUUCAAAACAAGACAAUGACUGUGGUACUAGACAAGUAUGAGUUUACUGGUAAAACAGCUUGAAUUAUAUACAGGCUUGGUAAAGAUGCUUUCUGAUCUCAUUAUGAUUGGUGAAAACCUUUUAUUUGCUAAAAACAUCUUGAACAUAUCUUAUAAUCAAAAUAUGCAGAAUUCAGGUUUAUUUUCACACUUUAACUUCCAUAGGAUUAGAAGCACAAGACUGCUCUCUUGAUGUUCAAUACAGAGUACUACAAGUUCUAUUGUUCUCUUCGAUUAAAAAAAAGCGAGUAAAAGAGGCCAGAAAGCUGAAUAGUAUUUGGAAUCAUAUCUUGGUUAUGGUUUUGCUAAAGGGCAUUUGUAAUGGAACGGUUUUUGAGAAUUUUAUUGUUGCUGAAGUUUAUAGGACACAUUUUCAGUGAUAUUAAAGAUAGGGCAAUUGUGGACGUGGUGAUCCAUAAAUUCAGUACCAUGCCUAGAGCAUUUCACCAAGGGUUGGAAUGAGUUGGAUACAAGUAUACUCAAAAUUUUAAUUUGUUUUCAUAUGUGUGAAGGAUUUUUACUCUUAUACUUAGCCUUCGAAUAUGUAUCAAAGUCAGGUAUCCGCCAUCCAUGUAUGCUCGACAGAAAAUUACUUAUCUUUGUGGUUUUCAGGUUUAAAUUACUUGUCUACUGUGCAAGUAUUAUAGUGGACACUGUAAUGCCUGUUUCCAUGUAGUUACUUUGAAGCUGGAACAAAGGACAGUUCAUUCAUGGCAAUGGAAAGCUCAAUGAAGGAACCGACCAUUUCUAUCAGUUUGUACAUUCCGGAGAAAAGAUUUCGAUUUUUGGAUUAACAUUCAAGGGUAUUAACGUGGCUGUCAAAGCACAUGCUUGCUGUUUUACAUACUCGUCGCUAACCAGGAGAUCAAAGGUGCUGAACUGCUACAGCCACAACAUGACUGAUUGGUCCAACCCUUCUCGAAAAUAAACAGUGUCGGGUGUAAUAAUAUGGAAAGAAUUUUUGUUUGAAUUUUAAAUUAAUAUUAUUAAAAAAGACAAUUAUAAAUUUUGAAAUGAUUAGUCUUCAUCAAUCACUCGAAACAAUUUAAA
This 7069-nucleotide long non-coding RNA is filed under the name Gossypium barbadense (sea-island cotton). Its description in RNAcentral is "long non-coding RNA (GBAR_LNC017531)". The record is from RNAcentral. Lineage: Eukaryota; Viridiplantae; Streptophyta; Magnoliopsida; Malvales; Malvaceae.